UGAUGAUGAUGACGAUGAUGAUGAUGAUGAUGAUGAUGCAAAGGAUAUAUUAUGUGCCAUCAUCAUAAUAUUAAACAUCACACCAUCAUCAUCCUCUCCAUCAUCAUGCUAU
This 112-nucleotide microRNA precursor is filed under the name Bigelowiella natans CCMP2755. Its description in RNAcentral is "miRNA EPrBNAG00000013313". The record is from RNAcentral. Lineage: Eukaryota; Cercozoa; Chlorarachniophyceae.